RNAcentral lists this ribosomal RNA (468 nucleotides) under uncultured bacterium. RNAcentral describes it as "partial 16S ribosomal RNA". It matches the Rfam family "Bacterial small subunit ribosomal RNA", at positions 28 to 507 of the family's 1533-position model. The record is from RNAcentral.
GACGAACGCUGGCGGCGUGCUUAACACAUGCCAGUCGAACGGAAAGGCCCUGCUUUUGUGGGGUGCUCGAGUGGCGAACGGGUGAGUAACACGUGAGUAACCUGCCCUUGACUUUGGGAUAACUUCAGGAAACUGGGGCUAAUACCGGAUAGGAGCUCCUGCUGCAUGGUGGGGGUUGGAAAGUUUCGGCGGUUGGGGAUGGACUCGCGGCUUAUCAGCUUGUUGGUGGGGUAGUGGCUUACCAAGGCUUUGACGGGUAGCCGGCCUGAGAGGGUGACCGGCCACAUUGGGACUGAGAUACGGCCCAGACUCCUACGGGAGGCGGCAGUGGGGAAUAUUGCACAAUGGGCGGAAGCCUGAUGCAGCAACGCCGCGUGCGGGAUGACGGCCUUCGGGUUGUAAACCGCUUUCGCCUGUGACGAAGCGUGAGUGGCGGUAAUGGGUAAAGAAGCACCGGCUAACUACGUG